GAUGAAGAACGUAGCGAAAUGCGAUAAGUAGUGUGAAUUGCAGAAUUCAGUGAAUCAUCGAAUCUUUGAACGCACAUUGUGCCCUUUGGUAUUCCAAAGGGCAUGCCUGUUCGAGCGUCAUUUGUACCCUCAAGCUUUGCUUGGUGUUGGGCGUCUUGUCUCUAGCUUUGCUGGAGACUCGCCUUAAAGUAAUUGGCAGCCGGCCUACUGGUUUCGGAGCGCAGCACAAGUCGCACUCUCUAUCAGCAAAGGUCUAGCAUCCAUUAAGCCUUUUUUUCAACUUUUGACCUCGGAUCAGGUAGGGAUACCCGCUGAACUUAAGCAUAUCAAUAAGCGGAGGA
RNAcentral lists this unclassified non-coding RNA (341 nucleotides) under soil metagenome. RNAcentral describes it as "partial contains 5.8S ribosomal RNA, internal transcribed spacer 2, and large subunit ribosomal RNA". The stretch from base 1 to 120 matches the Rfam family "5.8S ribosomal RNA", at positions 35 to 154 of the family's 154-position model. The record is from RNAcentral.